RNAcentral lists this ribosomal RNA (253 nucleotides) under uncultured bacterium. RNAcentral's name for it is "partial 16S ribosomal RNA". It matches the Rfam family "Bacterial small subunit ribosomal RNA", at positions 524 to 776 of the family's 1533-position model. The record is from RNAcentral.
UACGUAGGGUGCAAGCGUUAAUCGGAAUUACUGGGCGUAAAGCGUGCGCAGGCGGCUUUGUAAGUCUGUUGUGAAAUACCCGGGCUCAACCUGGGAAUUGCGAUGGAGACUGCAAGGCUAGAAUCUGGCAGAGGGGGGUAGAAUUCCACGUGUAGCAGUGAAAUGCGUAGAGAUGUGGAGGAACACCGAUGGCGAAGGCAGCCCCCUGGGUCAAGAUUGACGCUCAUGCACGAAAGCGUGGGGAGCAAACAGG